UACGUAGGUGGCAAGCGUUGUCCGGAAUUACUGGGCGUAAAGGGCGAGUAGGCGGCCUUUCAAGUCAGAUGUGAAAUAGCCCGGCUUAACCGGGGAACUGCGUCUGAUACUGGAUAGCUUGAGGUUGGGAGAGGGAUGCGGAAUUCCAGGUGUAGCGGUGAAAUGCGUAGAUAUCUGGAGGAACACCGGUGGCGAAGGCGGCAUCCUGGACCAAUUCUGACGCUGAGGAGCGAAAGCCAGGGGAGCAAACUGG
This 253-nucleotide ribosomal RNA is filed under the name uncultured bacterium. Its description in RNAcentral is "partial 16S ribosomal RNA". It matches the Rfam family "Bacterial small subunit ribosomal RNA", at positions 524 to 776 of the family's 1533-position model. The record is from RNAcentral.